This 120-nucleotide non-coding RNA is filed under the name Paucilactobacillus nenjiangensis. RNAcentral's name for it is "Enterococcus sRNA 68 (Lacto-3 RNA)". It matches the Rfam family "Enterococcus sRNA 68 (Lacto-3 RNA)". From Rfam's summary of the family: Name 'Ref' stands for RNA in E. faecalis. Also known as Lacto-3 RNA. Lactobacillales (Firmicutes). The record is from RNAcentral. Lineage: Bacteria; Bacillati; Bacillota; Bacilli; Lactobacillales; Lactobacillaceae.
UGCGAUGAGUCGAAUGGUCAAGCAAUCUUCGGAUUGUUUCGCGCAAGCGAUUAAUGACAUUCUCAUGGGACACAUUUACCUGACGUAUUUCAGGGUGUCCGGCAGUAGGAUAUUGUGGAA